Molecule: ribosomal RNA, 1438 nt
Filed under: metagenome
Description: bacterial SSU rRNA
Rfam family: Archaeal small subunit ribosomal RNA
Source: RNAcentral
UCCGGUUGAUCCUGCCGGAGGCUACUGCUAUUGGAAUUCGAUUAAAGCAUGCGAGUCAAGAGGUCUUCGGAUACUCGGCGUAAUGCUCAGUAACACGUGGACAAUCUAACCUUAGGUGGGAGAUAAACUCGGGAAACUGAGGCUAAUACCCCAUAGGCCUGAUCUGCUGGAACGCUUUCAGGCUGAAACUUAUGGGCCUAAGGAUGAGUCUGCGGCCUAUCAGGUUGUAGUGGGUGUAAUGGACCCACUAGCCUUUGACGGGUACGGGCCUUGAGAGAGGAAGCCCGGAGAUGGACUCUGAGACACGAGUCCAGGCCCUACGGGGCGCAGCAGCUGCGAAAACUUCGCAAUGUGGGAAACCACGACGAGGGAAUUCCAAGUGCUAGCGCAAUGCGUUAGCUGUUCUCAUGCCUAAAAAGCUUGAGGAGUAAGGGCUGGGUAAGACCGGUGCCAGCCGCCGCGGUAAUACCGGCAGCUCGAGUGGUAGUCGUUAUUAUUGGGCUUAAAGCGUCCGUAGCCUGCUUUGUAAAUCCUUGGGUAAAUCGGCCAGCUCAACUGUCCGAAUACUGAUGAGACUGCAAAGCUUGGGACUGGGAGAAGUCAGAAGUACUCCUGGGGUAGGGGUGAAAUCCUGUAAUCCUAGGGGGACUACCAGUGGCGAAGGCGUCUGACUAACGGAUCCGACGGUCAGGGACGAAACCCUGGGGCACAAACGGGAUUAGAUACCCCGGUAGUCCAGGGCGUAAACGCUGCAGGCUUGGUGUUGGGAGUCCCACGAGGGCACUCAGUGCCGGAGAGAAAUUGUUAAGCCUGCCGCCUGGGGAGUACGGCCGCAAGGUUGAAACUUAAAGGAAUUGGCGGGGGAGCACAGCAACGGGUGGAGCGUGCGGUUUAAUUGGAUUCAACGCCGGAAAACUCACCGGAGGCGACGAUUAUAUGAAGGCCAGGCUAAUGACUUUGCUGGAUUUUUCGAGAGGUGGUGCAUGGCCGCCGUCAGUUCGUACCGUAAGGCGUUCUGUUAAGUCAGAUAACGAACGAGACCCCUACCAUCAUUUGCUACCAUGUUCUCAGGAACAUGCGCACUAUGAUGGGACCGCUGGCGCUAAGCUAGAGGAAGAAAGGGGCAACGGUAGGUCCGUAUGCCCCGAAUCCUCCGGGCAACACGCGCGCUACAAAGGAUGGGACAAUGGGCUUCAACACCGAAAGGUGAAGAUAAUCCCGAAACCCAUUCGUAGUUCGGAUUGAGGGCUGUAACCCGCCCUCAUGAAGCUGGAAUCCGUAGUAAUCGCGGGUCAACAUCCCGCGGUGAAUAUGCCCCUGCUCCUUGCACACACCGCCCGUCAAACCAUCUGAGUUGGGUUUGGAUGAGGACUGUUCAUUUUGGGGAGUUCGAAUCCAGGUUCAGCAAGGAGGGUUAAGUCGUAACAAGGUAUCCGUA